UUUUUUUAAAGAAGUGUUGGCUGGCCUCUAAAACUUAAAUACCACUGGAAACUAAUGCUAAGGGUUGGGUGGUUUUUCUUGUCCUCAUAAAUCAUGUCAUGGAGUUUUUGUUACUCUGCUCUCAUCCUGUGGUAUCUUUCUAGUGCUGAUAACAAGCGCUCAGCCCCUGUCCCCCCCCUUCCCAGAGGGGUGAGUGCGGCCCCCAGCUGCUGGCAGCUCUCCCGCUGCCUGGGCCGGCCCCAUCCCUCCCACAGCUAAAGCUGCUCUUGCCUCUGCAAGCCUUGAAAUCAGCUUUUCACUUAUCUUUAGGGAAACUGAAGUAGCCACUUUGGAGUGGAAACCCCUGCAUCCCUCAUUGUGGAGCUAGGGAUGGCUGGAAAGGGAGACUCUAGCUGCAGGGCUGCCUGGGGGCUUUGCAGUGCUCGUGCAGUUGGGUAUCCCAGGGCACAGCCAAAGGGUCUGUUUGGGGCAAAGGAAUGUGGGGGCUGAGCCCUCCCUGAGGACCCUUUCCUGCCCGUACGUGAGCAGAGAAACCUUCCUGACCCCGCUGUCAGUCCAGUGGACCUGUUGCCAGCCAGGGCUUUGGUUUGCAUCUUUCACUGCUUUUCUGCACCGGAAGAGGAGAAGCAAGCUAAAUAUAUCUAAAUACAUAUGCCCAUUCUCCAGCACCCAGCUCUGAAGUUUUCACUGCUUUUUAUUUGGGCCGUGUAGAGGAGGAGGCGGCCGUGUGCCUUCGUUUCACAUGUGCUGGCGUGAGAUGUUAGAUUUCAGGAGAGCGCAGCCCUCUUCUUGCUUGCACCCAUAAUUCUGGAUCUUUGUGAUAAUGUGGAACAAAUGCUGAAUUCCGCAGCUCACAGUGGAGAAGAGGCAGAGGCCUCUUCUCCACUGUGAGCCUCCCUGUCCCGUUGGCCACAGGCUGCAGUAGCUGUGUGGUGCAGCAGCAUGCGGGCACUGUGGCCGAGGUGAUAGAGAGGGUUCCCAGCGGUCUGGCACACGGGAGCUGCAGUGACUGCUGGUGUCACUGCCGACCUGCUCCUCGUGCAUGCAUAAUUCAGCAGGAAUAAUGAGUUAGUUCCCCUGGCUGCUGUGAAGGAGCGGCUGAUGAAGUGGCCCAUCAUCUCUGCAGCUCGUAGUGCAUCCUGGUGUGAGCAGUGUUCUGCAUCUCUUGGAUUUACUGAGAGCACUGAAACUUCCGAUCGGGCUUUUAUUUCUCUCUUCUCCUUGCAUUUGAUGUGAACUUCAUGCUAACGCGCUGCAGCUCACUUGAUGUUCCUGUCACUCUUUCAGCUUUCACAUCUUUGCCAGAGAGGAGCAAAUCAAUUAGGUCCCUAAAACUUCAAUGGUUUCAAAGCAGUCGCUUGUAAACACAUUACUCAAAGAAGACAAUUAGCAGAAUAUUCAUGACGUAGGCACAAAAUUCAGGUUCAGAUGCCUCUGGUUUAUCUGCCACGCUUUCCCUUUUGGGAGUCUGUAGUUACUGUGAGAGAUUUUAACAUAAAAAAAUGUCUUUUUAAGGAAAGACAUAUCUGUGGAAUAUCUGCCUGAAUUCUAAAUUGCACUUUUUCUGUUUUGCUAAAUACAAUGGUGGUAACAAUCUUUUAUGAUGUUUUAAUAGCAACUGUGAGGGGGGGGGGGAAAGUGACAUCUUUUUUGAUGAUUCAUGCACACGUUCAGAAAAAUACAUAAAUAAGUGGAAAUACAGCAUGCUUUAGGUAUGGCAUCUUAUAGCCAGUGAUUCUUUCAGUAAGGGGUCUGUCUGAGAGUAAUUUUUUAUAAGUCUCUUUGUGAGACAUUCUUUUACCUGACCUCCAAAGGUAAAAUUGAAACUCAAACACGCACGGCAGCUGAGCUGCAGCAUGCACCUGCCCAUCAAUAAGAUACAGCCCAUGUUCUGGCAAUGCAUUGGAUCUCUAAUGUGAUCUUCAGGUUUCCCAAUAGAUUGAACAGAUUCCCAUAGGGUGGGAUCAAUGCUGCCAUAGUGCAAAUCAUGCUAGAUAGCAGUAUGAAUCAGUAAGUGCCACUUAAAUGAUUUCAGAAGGGAAUCUGUCUCUUGAAAUUAACUGUAUUUUGUUGUUAUUAAUUUGUGUAACUGUACAGCUAAGAAUCUGGAGCUUGAUUUUUACAGAAAAUCAUCAAAUUGAUGUUAGAACCACUGCUUCCACUUCCUUUUGAGAGACAAAAUACAAAUUCUAUCUGAGAUUUUGCCAUUAAAUAAAUGAAAGAAUGACUAAAAGGAAAGGGUUUGUUAUUGAAACAUUUUGUUACCAGAACCAUAAAAUAAACUAAUAAACAGAUAAAAAUAAAACAACGGAGGAGAUUUAAUACUAAGAAACCUUCAAAACCUAUCUACCUAUAACCUCUAAACUUAUAAGCCUAUAAUGCUGUCCCAAUGUCUCAGGGUGCUGGCCCACUGCUGUGGCUGCAGCUGCCAUUUGGGCAGUAUGGGGCUGCCCAUCAGUCUGCAUCAACAUAGCUGUUCUGAGCAAUGAGGUUAGGAGGGCCCAAACAUCCUGCUGCUGUGCUGCUUGUGGGAGCAGGGAAGGCUCCUCCUGUGCUGGGCCAGUUGUGUAAAUCCAGGUGCUGGAGAAGCUGGAGAAGUGGCACCCGAGACCUGGCUGUUGCUUGUUGGCAGCAGGGAGGGGAUCAGUCUGGCACUUCUCCCUCCCUGCUGCUGCAGCACAGUCUGGCAGGGUGCAGCAGCACCGGCUUAGAUGUUGUCUUUCUUCGGGCGCUUAAGUGGUGAGGGCCACAUGGGUGCAGCUGUCUCUCUGCCCUCUUCCACUGCCUGCAUGCUCCCUGCUGGCUCACUGCAGCUCCCUGCAUGGCCCGGGCACCUGGGCUGCCACACUGGUGUCUCCCAUUCAGAUCUUGCUGCAGGGCAGGGGCGGCCAGGGCUCCUCUCUUUGGGGCUACUCUUCUCUUACAGUGUUUGAGCAAAUUGAAUAAUCUCACCUGAAGUAUGGGUUGCUAUAGAAGAGUAACUAAAAAGUGCAAAGGAGAAGAGUUAGUUGCUAUUGCUUUGGGACAGAAAGAUGGCAAGAUACAGCAACUUUGAUACAAGACUUUGCUAAAGACAAACAUGGGCAUUAAAAAGGUCUAGUGGUCAGUUUAAUCCUUCAGCUUAGGCUGACUGCAACAAGACACAUUGAAAAUGUGUUGAAAUAAUAGACUCAUCAUGUCUGAUUUAUUUAUCUUUCUGUUGCACAGAUUCAAACUCAGAUACAACCCAAAUGUAUUUUAUCCAUAGUUCAGCUACUCAACAGUGCUACCUCUAAAAUACCUGGCAACAGCCAGAGAAAGAAAUGAGGAUCAGAACAUUUACAGCCCUCCUCAUCUCUAUUACUAAGGUUUAUUCUAUUGGAGCCUGCAUCCCUCCCACCAGAAUAUUGUGAGAGUUGAUUUAUGUGAGGAUCAACUGAUACGCCUUCCUACAGGCAGCAAGUGCUUCCUGCUCCGUCAGGAAUUCAGGAACGAAUAUAGAUUGAGCUGACGAAAGAAGCUGCUCAUUUUUCCUGUUCAGAAUGCUCUCAAAGAUCCUCUCAUUCCCAAUACUUCUGCCUCAAACUCUUCCUUAUCAAUCACGAUACAGUUUUCACCAUAAGCCCACCAGACCAUCUCAAAUUGAUCGUUCUCAGCCAUCAGCCAGAGUUUUUGUGGAAAGCUGAGAUCUGCGAAGGUGUUGAGGUGACACUCCAUGGAAGAAUUAUCAGGUAAACAGUUGGUUUUGUCUUUGCCAGCAUAACAUUGUGAAUUCCUUCAUUCCUUCCUGUCUUGAGGUUACAACAGCAUUGCAAGCUGUGCCUUGUUUCUGUCCUGAAGGAGCAGGAGAAGAGGAGCUUGAGACCUCAGACCUCAGACAUCUCUGGAUCAGAAAGGAAUGUUUCUUCUUCAGACGGCUCAAUUUUAAUUUUUCUUAUCUCAGAUUGUCAGGAGUUCUCACGUAGAGCUACUCCUGCCAUGAGCUAGUCUUUGCUUUGCCAGUCAGCAGUGAAGUCCAACUGUACUGUCCAGGGAUUCUGUUGGGAGAUGCUCACAUGUUACCAUGAUGCCCUCAUGUCGUCACAGUGACAUCACAGUAUGGUGUCCAAGGUCUGGCAGAAGAAGCAGCCACAGCUGGUGGCACUGACCAGCACUUGUUGCUGGUUCUGCACAGAGCCACGUGUGCUUAACUUGAGUCAAGGAGCAAAUAAAACUGUACUGAAAGGAGAUCACCCUUCAGCUAGACCUUGCUUCCCCUUCCCUGUGUUCCCUGAAUAGCUCCAUUCCAGCCUCCUUGGUGUCCCUGUGGUUCUCCAGAUGGGAAGGAAAUCAGUUUCCCAGGCAGUGGUAACAAGAGAAAAUAGCAGUAUCUUCCCAGUUUGUUACCAUUUCUUGUAAAUGCUCUGUGAUUUCAAUAGCACAGCUUCUGCAAGGGAAUAGCUGUGUACCCGAGUGAUGCCCUGUUAUGACAGCAGUCUCUCAGACGCUGCUCUGUAGGUCCAACCAGAAGAAGACACCAAGUAUGUUUUGCUGAUGGCAUAGACAGGAGAUGUGCAAUCCCUCUUUGGUUCCUUUUAUUUGAUAUUUUAGAAAUAUAGGAAAUAAGAAAACAAAGUCAGUUAUGUUCUUUAAGCCUUUUAGAUUACACUCUUCUCUACAGGAUCAGGUGCUUAAUCUGUAAAGGAAAGGCUUGUUCUGGAACUCGUGUCUGGAUGCAGUGUAUGCUAAGUUUGAGGACCACAGCUUCCCAGGGCAGCAGGCACAGCCCUGAGCUGCUAGAGCUUAGUGAUCGUUUGGACUCUGCUCUCAGAGAUAGGGUUUGGGUGAUUCUACAUGGAGCCAGGGGUUGGACUCGAUGACCACUCAGGAUCCGUUCUGAUUUGAGAUGUCUGCAUUAUACCAGUGUUUUCCUAAAAACUGGAAGUGACACUUAGCCUUAUAUUAUUUAACUAAAAGCAGGUGAUGUGACCUUUUGGAAGUCAAGCAGGACAGUUUCUUAUCUGUCUGAGGGUAAGCUGGGAGGAUGGCCACUGGCAUAAGGAGGACUGCAGUGAUGACGUAAAGCUCCCAUCAUUUUGAAAACCUGGGGCAAUGUUUACUUGAAAACUCAAUCUGCCAGCACUGUGCUGCAGCCUGGAGCCCAGGAUGUAUUGCUGCUGAGACCAACGUACAGCAAAGAGUUGCUCGUCCUCUUUCCAUCUCCCUGGUUUCAGAUAGAAGUUGCUUUUCCCCUGCUCUGUUUGGGACCCAUCCUCAGUGCCUCUCCAGCAGUUUGUUUGCUGCUCAGCUACAUCCAGGCUGCCCUUGCUCCAGGUUGUGCUGGUGGGACAGUGCGUUCUGGGAGGAUGGGGCCAGUUUUGAGAUAGGCAGCGCACUGCUCCCUGCAGCCAUAGUGUUGCCGUAGCCCUUGCUGUGUCUGAAGCCCUAUCUGUGGUCUUGGGCCUGCACGUCAGGAACCCACUGCCCUGACAGGAGCAGGCAGAGAGCUCUGGGCAGUGUUAGGGGACUUGUGCCCCUUUUCACAGCUCACUUGUAGGGUCGGGAUGUGAUUUGUUGUAAACAGUGGAACUACUGGAAAUCCAUUAUGUGGAUUACAUCUUCUGAGUAGGACGUGGUUGUGUUAUGGGUUUUGUAGGAAACUGACUUCGAUAUAAGUUUUAUUUAUGAAGUUUGAUGGAAAAACUGAGCAGCAUGUUUUCUGGGUCAUCAUGGCAGUGUUAAGCUGCUUUCCACUUUUAGUACCCUGUAAAUAAAAACCUAGCAACCUAUUCUUCAUUCUUUGGAGCCCCACCAGGCCUGCUGCACAAUGCCCUGCCGUGUUGUGGGUGCACUUUGUCCUCAGCAUUUUUGGCUCACUGCUGUUGGGAGCUGGCAUGGAGGAUGGAGAGAGCACCUGGAGCAGGCAGCAGCAGCAGCAGCCCUCUGUUCCCUUGAAGACAGCAGGUCAGGAGGGAUGAGAAUGAGUGCUUCUCCCCAGAACGUCACAGGCAUCUUCCUGCAGGGGUGUGCAAUGUGCUCCGACUGACAGACGUACUUCUGGAAACAGUGGAGGCGGAUGUGAGCAUCCUCAUCGCGGUGUCCAAGUGCUGCUCCUCAUCCAGAUAAGCAGCUGUGAGGUUUUAACAGAAACAAGAGCUUUCAUCUUCCUUCCUCUUCCUGACAGCAACAUUCCCAUUAAAACUUUCUCAAAAAGUUCAGCCUCAGGCAGACACCUGGCUUGGGGAAAAAAACUCAAUGUGAUUGACUGCAGUUGUGCAGUUCUAUAAGUCCCUGAAAACAGAGGAUUUUAUCAGGAAUUAGACUUUAUAAAAAUCCUAUUGAGGCUUCAGUUUCUAAUUCUUGCUGUUGGGGAUGGGAGACACAAACAAACCAGCAUUUAGCAUAUAGUAUGUGCAGCAUUUAGUGCCUUCUGAAAGAUUUCUUUAAUACCGAGCCUGACUGGAAGUAGGUCAAUAGAAAAAGGAGUAAAUCUUAUUUGCAAAAAGGCAUUAGGAGCUCCAUUGUGCAUAAAUCCAAUUGCCACUGAGCAGAGAUCCUAAAAACAUCAGGAAUUGGAGUCUUGGAUCAAACAGUUUUGCACAGUGUCAUUGGUGAAACAUCCCCACUAUUUCUCGCCUUCCUUGCACUGCUCUUCCUGUGGUGCAGUGGGGUGGCUGUGCCCGUCCUCCUCUCCUGUAAGGCUGCUGCAAGUGGACUUGCUUGUGCUGCUGUUUUCUUAUGGAAUCUAUAGGAUUAUUGCUGCCAUGACCAGCAAAGCCCUGCUUGGGGACAUCAAGCGUAAGGCUCCCUUCUGGAAAUGAAAACCUGCUGCUGACGAUGCCAGUGGCAUUUGGAAAAGUCAUCACCAUGGUUUUAAGGUUAGAAACCCUUGAAGUCCUUCCAGCUUGGGCCAAUGAAAAGGCAAACUCACAAACUUGCAACUCUUGCUCUUUUUCUUAAUAAUAGGAGGAAAAAGGUCUCAGUGAAAUAGCGCUUCACCAAUGAAAACUGAACUCGUCUUUGUUUCUUACUAAAGAAAAUAGGAAACCCUCUGAAAGCUUUUCAGAAAACAUAGUCUGAGUGUGGCCAACCAGAAAUGCCAGCAAAUCCCAGCUCCUCAAAGGAAGCUCUUCAGUCUCCGAUAAAUUUUUUGAAUACCAGGUCUCCACAAAGAGGCAAAGCAAAACAGCUCACGUUAAGUAUGGUGGUGAGCUGUAUUGACGAACACAUUGAGAAGCUGUCGGUGUGGGGUGACAGGGCUGUGCCCCGGCUGUGUGGUGCCCUGCGGGACUGCUGGAAACACCAUCAGCUGUGCAGCUCCAUGUCCCCAGCCUGCAGGGCUGCCAUCCUUUGCGGCUGUGGGGCUCUCUGGUGCUGGGGCUGUGUGCCUGAUCUCUAUGCAGUUCUGGGAAGCACCCUGGCUUUGUGCUGGAGGGUGUGCGGCUGUGCUGUGCUUUGCUGACUGCCGGCUGCUGUCGAGCCUGUGUCCUCGAUUCACCCCAAAGCCGUGCUGGGGAAACCAAGAGAAACCUUGCUGCAGGAGAGAUGCUUUUCUCUCACUUUAAUAUCUUUUAUUAAAUAGCUUGCAUAUCUUGUUUUCAUGCUGGAACGUAUAUUUUUGGGUGUCACUGUACAUUGGGUGUACUUAUGAGGCAAAGAAGGAAGAAGUAGGACUGUACUGUGAUGUAGAAAUACUUUGCAUCCUCCACAGCAUAAGAAGGGGCUGAGGCAUGAUGGAGGUUGAUAAAACUUGGCAAAUCUAUCUGGGGAUGGGAGCGAGAUGGUCUGGGGCUGUGCACUGGAGCCCUGUCACUGCCAUGCGUUUGCUGAAGCCGGUGCUGGUCAGUGCCAGUCCUCCACCCCUGCUAUGCAGCCUCGUCUUCAGGAGCUCUGCUGGAAGGUCUCCCUGUUCCCCUUACAUGGGGUCGGCGGACAGGUGCCAGUCACAGUUUGAGGAUCCAUCUCUGUUGUUCCAUGUGUUUUUUACCAGCCACCGUUCAGAGCCCAUUCGCACGUUUGAAGAAUGAGCAGAGACUUGAAACAGCCAGUAAUGGAUUUUUCUCUGUGCUUUAAUCACUUAUUAUUAAUAUAUACUGUGUCUUUUGGAUUAUACACAGCAGAAAUGAGAGCUGAGCAAAAUCAGAAUGAUAAAUACUUUACCAUAACCAAAAUACACAGAAGACUUGUCUCUGUGCUCUCUUGGUUAGCCACUUUGCACGAGGUAUUCCCACAGUGCAAUUUGUUCUCUGCAGUCGCUUGGCUUAGCAGUAUUAGCAGAGGGUGAAGCAAUGAUUGUCAAUGACAGGUAGAUUAAUUUCCCAUAUGGUUUUGUUGCCUAUUAGAAUUUAUCAGCUGCCUCUCCUCCUCAGGGACAAACCCGGCCUGGCCGCCCAGGUGACCUGCCAGCGUGUCUCUAUUAUCAGCAGAGGUUGCGCUCUAUUUACAGUCUAACUUAUUCCAAAUGUCACUUCCAAACGAUCCAGUGCAAAGUGCUUACAGAUGCCUGAACUGAGGAGAACGGCAAGGGAAAGGAGAAAGGGCAUUCCAUGAGUCCAUCUCGUCAGGAAGUUUUGUCACGUUGCCAAAACCCCAGCGCACGGACUUGCCAAACUCGAUUUCUUUCACCCUCUAAAUCAGUUCAGUAUGCGGUGCAGGAAAGCAUCGGCACAGCGGUGUCCUUGAAGGAGCGAGCACGGCUCACUUGCUGUUAAUUACAAACAAUGAAACAGAUGGGGGGGCUUGCUGUGAAAUGGAAAGCACGUACCUACUGCUGCAGAGCCGAAGCCAUGGCUGCCCGGAGCUGCCCACAUGGGGCAGGGACACGGCCUCUCCCCAGGCUGUGUCCCGCACCAUGCCCAGCCUGCAGCAGGGCUGGCUGCUCCCUAGGACCUCCUGCUCCCCAUCCUCUUCCAGCAGGUCUGUGACUCAGUGCUGCACAGAGCUCCUGGUGUCCCCGCAGCCUGCAGCCUGACCUCGAGCACACUCGGAUGCUCCUCGCAGUCUGCUUUGUGCCUGCUGGGAGUUCCAAGAGCGGAAGGGGUAGCUUAUCUGUCCCGUCCCCUCCCACUUUUAUUUCCUCUUUUACUGCUACUUAAGAGGUGAGGUAAAUGUGACUUCCCAGUCUUGUUUAGAAAAUCUUUGUGGAAUUCUUCUCUUGUCUGUAUAUGAGACAUUGCUAUUUACUUCACUUUUUAGAUAUCUAACUAGAUCUAAUAUCCUAGAUAUUAGAUAUCCUACUAUUUGAGUCAUUGGUGGUUCACUGAUGCUCAGGUCCUUGCAAGAACUGUCAGAGCAAGACAGUUUCACCGAUGUGCUUGCAGUGAGACCAGCUGCACGAACCUGUUCAACCAGGCAUUGUGUACGAGCACCACUUGCAGUGCCCACAGUGGAAUUGAACCCACAGGCCUGUGUGGCCAUAGAGGAGUGACUGAAACCCCCCAGUGGCCUUAACAUCUCUGCUCUAAUGUCUGCUAAUGAAGUAGAGGAUGGCAAGAGCAGUGGUGGGAGUAGGGGUACUCAGUCUGUCUGUGCCAGGAUUCUGUGAGAAUAUCAAGGCCUGAAUUUAAUAUAUCAUUUUUAUGCACAUGGACACACAAUACUAAUUUAUACUGUAACGGUCAUUAGUAAAUCCUUAGAUGUAUACAGGCCACACAGACCAUUGAAGUCUCAGCUCUGCUCUUCUGUGUGGAAAUGCACAGCUCCUUAUGAGCCUCAGCUGAUCUCUGGCCAUCCCUCUAGUGUCCAGGUGUAGUGUAUGAUUCUUUGCGACAGUCCGUACAUCACUGACGGGCACUUCAAAAGACAGCUAAAUCUAUCCUGGCAGACCUCAUAUCUCAUUCUACAGUGUCAUUUUCUGUGCUAGACAACCACACGUUUUCCUAACCUCUCAAAGCAUUCAGGCUCAUGCUCAUGGCAUCCACGCAUGCCUUGCAUUCACACCACCACCUCUGCUGCCCACAGGGCUGCACAGAGCUCCAGCAGCAGCAGGUGAGGCACAUCUCUCUGAGCUCCCCAUUGUGGGGCCAGUGCAAGUCCAUCUGAUAUCUUAAGCCCCGUGUGUGCAUUUUUCCCCUGUGACUUGGGCUGACUCAUGGGCUGCAGCUUCCUCCAAUGCUGUGCAGCAGCAGCAGCUUGCCGGCUCCCUGGAAGGAUGCCUGGUGGCAGUGUGCCCUGUGGGCAGGUCCUGGCCAGCCCCAGAGCAUCACGCUGAGCACCCCGGUGGUGGAGGGCUGCUGCUGGAAAGGGUUUGCUGUUUGGGUCAGUGUCUCAGGGCUGGGAAGCCAGCCCUUAGCUGUGCUUUGCUAUCCUGACUCUAUGGGCUUCUCUUUCACAAGUCCUGAAAGCAGAGACCGGAUCUGUGAGACCCUGCUCAUGUUUGCAGAAGUACAUUUGGGCUCUUUCCUCUGUUCUCAUAUGCAACUGUUCAGCUGGCCAAAGGCUGCGGAAAGUUUCUGGAGAGCACCAGAGAGAAACAUCCCAUCUGGGGCUGGGAGGUGAUGCUGCUGCUUGGCCUGGGCUGGCCAGGAGCAUGGCGGGCACUGCUGGGAGCCACUCUGUGACGACAUGGCAGCGAUGGGAGCUCAAGCCACAGCUGGUGAGGAAAGAUGCAGCAGUAACUUGUGACAGUGCUCCUGGAGAGCAGCGCAGUAAGCCGGGCCCUGGGGACCACCAGCAUCCUUGCCUCUGCAUCACCCCAUCCAGCACUGGAAAGCACUUCUGUAGGCAAGGAGGUAUCCAUCUUCCAUACUGUUGAGUACUCAAGAAGGUCACUGACUUGCACUGUUAUUCUGAAGGUCUCCAUAUCCAUGUGACAUGUGCAGUCUGUAUCUGUCUGUAUCUACAGACAUUAGAGGUACCAACUCCUACUUUACUGUUAUUUGUUUACUACUUCAUCAGUUUGCUUAGAUUCUCUAGAACUCAAGAUAAUCUAAUUUAAAGUCUGAAUCCCCAUGAUUUCACACAAAAAUGAAAUUUUUUGGAGGCCUAAAUGCUCCAUUGUGUGCAUUAUUUCCAUUGGAUUGAGAGCAGAUUGAAAACUGGAAGGGUGGACAUUUGCAUGGUCCAAGAAAUGAACUAGCACUGGAUUGUUCUUUUCCCUUCUGAGUUAAGCUGACAGCAGCCAUAACAUCAAGGCUGAAAAGUUUAUUUACUAUGUAAAGGCCAUAUUUUCCCUUGUUAUCCCAGCUCUUUCUGGCUUGCAUUGCUUGGCAAUAUCCCCUCAACCACUAACACCCAGAGGCGUGGCACUAUGAUGGGAUGAAAAAUGAACAUGAAGAAGAAUAUUGAAGAUUUAAGUGGGUAUGGUUCUAAGAAAACCAGUGGAAAACAUGUUUACUCCAAGCAUCUGUAGCACCUAAUUGAGGCAGUGAUAUUUUCUCUAAGAGCACAGGGAAUGAUUUUCUACUUUCUCUUUGGAUUUGAAUUUUGCUUUGCAUCAAUGUGACAUAAUCCAUGGAAUUAUUUUCUUACAGCUGCUUUGGAAACUUUCUGCCCAUACACAAGGAUAUGCUAAUCAGGGUGAAAAAGCUUGCAGUCAUUCAAGCUCUGCUGAUUUCUAGACUCUUUGUUAGGAACUGUUGCUUCCUCUCAAUUUACAGAAAUCUAGUGCUCAGUAAACACUAUUAUUUUUGAGCUAUUAAUGUUGCUAUAAAUUUGAAUGCUAGAAAGAAGGUGGCAGAUUGUGAUUAAAAUGGAACUGAUCUA
Meleagris gallopavo (turkey) is the source of this 11661-nucleotide long non-coding RNA. RefSeq lists it as uncharacterized. Lineage: Eukaryota; Metazoa; Chordata; Aves; Galliformes; Phasianidae. The record is from RefSeq and is a predicted model, not a curated record.